RNAcentral lists this ribosomal RNA (492 nucleotides) under uncultured bacterium. RNAcentral's name for it is "partial 16S ribosomal RNA". It matches the Rfam family "Bacterial small subunit ribosomal RNA", at positions 29 to 507 of the family's 1533-position model. The record is from RNAcentral.
AGUGAACGCUGGCGGUAGGCCUAACACAUGCAAGUCGAACGGCAGCACAGUAAGAGCUUGCUCUUACGGGUGGCGAGUGGCGGACGGGUGAGGAAUACAUCGGAAUCUACUUUUUCGUGGGGGAUAACGUAGGGAAACUUACGCUAAUACCGCAUACGACCUACGGUUGAAAGCAGGGGAUCUUCGGACCUUGCGCGAUUGAAUGCGCCGAUGUCGGAUUAGCUGGUUGGCGGGGUAAAGGCCCACCAAGGCGACGAUCCGUAGCUGGUCUGAGAGGAUGGUCAGCCACACUGGAACUGAGACACGGUCCAGACUCCUACGGGAGGCAGCAGUGGGGAAUAUUGGACAAUGGGCGCAAGCCUGAUCCAGCCAUACCGCGUGGGUGAAGAAGGCCUUCGGGUUGUAAAGCCCUUUUGUUGGGAAAGAAAAGCAGCAGGUUAAUACCCCACUGUUCUGACGGUACCCAAAGAAUAAGCACCGGCUAACUUCGUG